GGAUUAGAGUUUGAUCCUGGCUCAGAACGAACGCUGGCGGCAGGCCUAACACAUGCAAGUCGAGCGCCCUUUCGGGGGAGCGGCGGACGGGUGAGUAACGCGUGGGAAUAUGCCCUUCUCUACGGAAUAGCCUCGGGAAACUGAGAGUAAUACCGUAUACGCCCUUUGGGGGAAAGAUUUAUCGGGGAAGGAUUAGCCCGCGUUGGAUUAGGUAGUUGGUGGGGUAAUGGCCUACCAAGCCGACGAUCCAUAGCUGGUUUGAGAGGAUGAUCAGCCACACUGGGACUGAGACACGGCC
Molecule: ribosomal RNA, 298 nt
Filed under: uncultured Paracoccus PC2
Lineage: Bacteria; Pseudomonadati; Pseudomonadota; Alphaproteobacteria; Rhodobacterales; Paracoccaceae
Description: partial 16S ribosomal RNA
Rfam family: Bacterial small subunit ribosomal RNA
Source: RNAcentral